GUGUCAGCCGCCGCGGUAAUACCAGCUCUCCGAGUGGUAGGGAUGAUUAUUGGGCUUAAAGCGUGCGUAGCCGGCUUGACAAGUCUUCUGUUAAAUCCAGCAACCCAAUUGUUGGACUGCGGGAGAUACUGUCUAGCUAGAGAACGGGAGAAGCCGACGGUACUCUCAGGGUAGGAGUGAAAUCCUAUAAUCCUGGGAGGACCACCAGUGGCGUAGGCUGUCGGCUAGAACGUGUCUGACGGUGAGGAACGAAAGCUUGGGGAGCGAACCGGAUUAGAUACCCGGGUAGUCCAAGCUGUAAACGAUGCGGGCUAGGUGUUGGGGUGGCUACGUGCCACUUCAGUGCCGCAGGGAAACCGUUAAGCCCGCCGCCUGGGGAGUACGGUCGCAAGGCUGAAACUCAAAUGAAUUGACGGGG
RNAcentral lists this ribosomal RNA (418 nucleotides) under uncultured prokaryote. RNAcentral describes it as "bacterial SSU rRNA". It matches the Rfam family "Archaeal small subunit ribosomal RNA", at positions 455 to 873 of the family's 1478-position model. The record is from RNAcentral.